GAUGAACGCUAGCUACAGGCUUAACACAUGCAAGUCGAGGGGGAAACGACAUCGAAAGCUUGCUUUUGGUGGGCGUCGACCGGCGCACGGGUGAGUAACGCGUAUCCAACCUGCCCACCACUUGGGGAUAACCUUGCGAAAGUAAGACUAAUACCCAAUGAUAUCCCACGAAGGCAUCCGAAUGGGAUUAAAGAUUUAUCGGUGAUGGAUGGGGAUGCGUCUGAUUAGCUUGUUGGCGGGGUAACGGCCCACCAAGGCAACGAUCAGUAGGGGUUCUGAGAGGAAGGUCCCCCACAUUGGAACUGAGACACGGUCCAAACUCCUACGGGAGGCAGCAGUGAGGAAUAUUGGUCAAUGGGCGAGAGCCUGAACCAGCCAAGUAGCGUGCAGGAUGACGGCCCUAUGGGUUGUAAACUGCUUUUAUGUGGGAAUAAAGUGAGGGACGUGUCCCUUUUGUAGGUACCACAUGAAUAAGGACCGGCUAAUUCCGUG
This 492-nucleotide ribosomal RNA is filed under the name uncultured bacterium. RNAcentral's name for it is "bacterial SSU rRNA". It matches the Rfam family "Bacterial small subunit ribosomal RNA", at positions 28 to 507 of the family's 1533-position model. The record is from RNAcentral.